RNAcentral lists this long non-coding RNA (1173 nucleotides) under Marmota monax (woodchuck). The record is from RNAcentral. Lineage: Eukaryota; Metazoa; Chordata; Mammalia; Rodentia; Sciuridae.
UUUUUUUUGAAACAAGGUCUCCGUUGCUUAGGUCCUCACUAAUUUACUGAGGCUGGUUGAACUUGGAAUCCUCCUGCCUCAGCAUCUUGAGACACUGGGAUUACAAGCAUUUGCUAACAAGCUCAGCUGUUGGCGAAUCAUCAUUUAAGAAUUUAACUAUGGGCCAUUUAAAAAUUCCAAUUUUGAUGGCCAGAAAAAGCCAUCAAAAUUAAUCAUCUGGGCUGGGGUACAGCACUUGCCUACCACGUGUAGGGUUCAAUCCUCAGCACCAUAUAAAUAAACAAAGGUAUUGUGUCCAUCUAAUAUAUAUAAAAUCAGCAGGAUCAGUGGUGUGCUGGGUGCAUGACUCCAGUCACUUCUACCCUUAGGUGCAGGAGUAUAUUGCUUAUGAACAUUCUUCUCAUUAGUACAUCAGGGAUUGAAAAAGCCAUACUAGGCAAAGAACUUGCAUCAAGAUCAGGACUGAAAUACAUUAAUGUGGAUGAUUUAGCUAAGAAGUUUGAUCACCGGAUAUCAUGGAGUCCUGCAAGAUGGCUUCUCCCAAGAGCAUGCUGAAAAAUGCAUAGAUGGUGACAUGAAUCCUAAAGGAUAUGGGGAUUACAGAAUAUGAACCAAGAGUUACAAAUCAGAUGUUGGAAUUUGCCUUCUAAUAUGUGACCACAAUUCUAGAUGAUGCUAAAAUUUAUUCAAGCCAUGCAAAGAAGGCUACUGUUGAUGCACAUGUGUGAUUGGUAAUCCAGUGUGGAGCUGACCACUCUUUUACCUCUCCUCUCUCAAGAGAUGUUUUAUUAGAUAUUGCAAGGCAAAGAAAUCAAACAUUUUUGCCACUGAUCAAGCCAUAUUCAGGUCCUUGGUUGCCACUUUAUAGAUAUUGCUUAACAGCUCCAAACUAUAGGCCCAAGUCUUUACAAAAAAUCACCUACUGCUGUGGGAAGAAUAACAGUUCCAAGGUUAAGUGUUAAUUCAGUUACUACCAGACGAAGUGUGCCAAUCCAACAAACCAUGUCUGUUUCAACUGAAGUAGGGACUCCAAUGUCACAGCGGAAAGUUGACAAUACAGAGGCCUAUUUCACAGUUUCCUGCCAUAAAAACCUCAAUUCAUGCAACACCAGCAGCUCAGAACGGUCUGAUUAAUCCAUUAAUUGGGCUCAAAAACAUUCUUAUUAUUUUAUG